Lathyrus oleraceus (garden pea) is the source of this 415-nucleotide long non-coding RNA. RefSeq lists it as uncharacterized. NCBI's taxonomy places the organism in Eukaryota, Viridiplantae, Streptophyta, Magnoliopsida, Fabales, Fabaceae. The transcript has 2 exons. The record is from RefSeq and is a predicted model, not a curated record.
AUUAGAUUGGUUUUCUUGUAAACCAUUUAACACAAUUUUACAAUUUUAUCUAGUCAUCUUAUAAGUAGAAUGGCAACCCACAACAAUAUCCUCCUCUUUACCUUUGUAGUUUUGUGCAUUGUUUCCAUGGUGGUUGCAGGAGUACUAGAUGAGACAUUACAUUGCUUUCAAGGAAUAUGCCCUAAUUUCAACUGUGCCAAAUUUUGCUCUGGUGCAAAAGGUUACCCUAGAGGUGGUUACUGUUUGGGGGACUCACAAUUGUGUUGUUGCAUUGGAGCUUGAGAGAUCUAUGAUUGAUAAUUGUAUUUUCUCAACAUCAUUCUGCAAUUUAGUAUUUAUGUUUUUUUUAUUAAAAUAAGAUGAUUAGAAAUCACUAUUCUAACCUCAUUUCAAUAAAAGAAUUCACUUGUGUUAA